UCAGUCCCUCCAGAAAAACGCGAUUAUGCGAUCGCAUGAUUUAGUGCAUAAUCAGCCAAAGUCUGAAAUAAAACAAGAUGAGAACUUAAAUAUUCCCAGCACUUUCUGUGAUGUAGUAUGCUUGCUUAUCAUAGGAAGUAAUAAGAAAUGACUCUUUACAUUAAGGUAGUAGCCUAGUGAGAACAGGGUGUUGGGGGAAUCACUUUUUUUUCUCUUUUUCAUCAAACCGCAGUUUUUGCAAGUUCCCGCAAUUUCAUCGCAUAAAAUUGCAUAAAUAUCCCGCAUAUUCCAUCGCAUUUUUAAAGAAAACGGGCCGCAUAAUCAAGGAUUUUUGCCCGCAACAA
Rhinichthys klamathensis goyatoka is the source of this 344-nucleotide long non-coding RNA. RefSeq lists it as uncharacterized. The record is from RefSeq and is a predicted model, not a curated record. The transcript is spliced from 2 exons. NCBI's taxonomy places the organism in Eukaryota, Metazoa, Chordata, Actinopteri, Cypriniformes, Leuciscidae.